GUUUAAGUGAAAAUUUCCCCUUGUGGGUGGGUGUGGGUGAGGGAUUUGUACCCAUAAUGAUUAGAGUGAUGAAAAUUAGUUGAACAUUAAGAUUAUCUUCUCUCCUCGUCAGUUGGAAAGAGAAAGGCAGACAAAAUUAAUGAUACAAGAAUAGGCACUAACAUGGACUAUUCAAGUUAAAUGUAUGCUUGGAUUGACAAAGAGA
This 205-nucleotide unclassified non-coding RNA is filed under the name Hevea brasiliensis (rubber tree). The record is from RNAcentral. Lineage: Eukaryota; Viridiplantae; Streptophyta; Magnoliopsida; Malpighiales; Euphorbiaceae.